GCCCGACUCGCCUCCAGCCGCGGGGUGCCGGCGGGCUACGCUGCGCCCCUCGGCGCCCACCCCGGCGGGGGCCCGGGCGGGGGUGUGUGUCCUCCAGGAGCUGCGGGGACCCCUGCGGCCGGACCUUGCGACCCGUUUUCCAAUCCCACGGUGGCGACGGCGACAGCAACGGUAAUAGUAUCGCCAGGAGAAAACAGAGGCCUCCCCAGCCACACUGGAAGGUACCAGCCAUUGCUGUCGCUCUCGGGAACUGCUACACCAGCCUCCUUCCUGGUGUCCUGUGCCUGCCCCUUCCCACUGCCAUCAGCAGCCAGAGGGGUCCUGUUAAAAGCAAGGCAGCUACACACCGCCCCCCCUACCCCCCCGCACAGAACCCGCAAUGGCCUCCCCACCAUGGUUAGUCCACAACCCGGCCAGAUACGAUCCAGCAAUUCCAUUUCUGGGUCGGCACCCACAAGAAUUGAACGCAGGGACCCAAACAGAUAUUUGCACCCUAAGUUGAUAGCAUCAUUAUUCCCAAGAGCCAAGCAAUGGAAGCCAUCCAAGUGUCUGCCCACUGUUGAAUAAAGCAAAUGUGGCUUCUGCAUACGAUGGAAAAUGACUCAGCCUUAAAAACGAAAGAAAUGUUGACACAGGCUACAAACUCUGAGCCUUGAAGAUGCUGUGCUAAAUGAGAUAAGGCAGUCAAAGAAGGGCCCAUAUGGUAUCUGAAAGUUUCAUUGGAUUCAGGUUAAUAAAGAUGCUUUCUGAAGAGGAUGCUGCGGACAAGGACAGUGUUAAGAGGAUCUGUUUUCCACAUAGACCUUCCACCCGGCUCUCUCCUAGAUAUUCAAGCAAGAGAAAUGAAAAUGGAUGUCCACACAAAGACUUGUACUUGGAGGGGCAUUAUUCAUAAUGUCCCCAAACUGGAUAUUUGGGACAAGCCAAAUAUCAACAGGUGAACGGGAAACAAUUUGCAAUACAUCCAUAUGGCGAUGACCACUCAGCAAUGAAAAGGAGCUACACCUUAGAUCCGUCUCAGAAUCACCGUGCUGAGUAAAAGAAACCAGA
Herpailurus yagouaroundi (jaguarundi) is the source of this 1050-nucleotide long non-coding RNA. RefSeq lists it as uncharacterized. The transcript has 3 exons. The record is from RefSeq and is a predicted model, not a curated record. Lineage: Eukaryota; Metazoa; Chordata; Mammalia; Carnivora; Felidae.